RNAcentral lists this ribosomal RNA (305 nucleotides) under uncultured bacterium. RNAcentral describes it as "bacterial SSU rRNA". It matches the Rfam family "Bacterial small subunit ribosomal RNA", at positions 334 to 653 of the family's 1533-position model. The record is from RNAcentral.
GUGUCCUACGGGAGGCAGCAGUGGGGAAUAUUGGGCAAUGGGCGCAAGCCUGACCCAGCAACGCCGCGUGAAGGAAGAAGGCUUUCGGGUUGUAAACUUCUUUUAUCAGGGACGAAGGAUGUGACGGUACCUGAUGAAUAAGCUCCGGCUAACUACGUGCCAGCAGCCGCGGUAAUACGUAGGGAGCAAGCGUUAUCCGGAUUUACUGGGUGUAAAGGGCGCGUAGGCGGGAUGGCAAGUCAGAUGUGAAAUCCGGGGGCUCAACCCCUGAACUGCAUUUGAAACUGUCGUUCUUGAGUACUGGG